RNAcentral lists this ribosomal RNA (511 nucleotides) under uncultured bacterium. RNAcentral's name for it is "bacterial SSU rRNA". It matches the Rfam family "Bacterial small subunit ribosomal RNA", at positions 501 to 1014 of the family's 1533-position model. The record is from RNAcentral.
CUACGUGCCAGCAGCCGCGGUAAUACGGAAGGUCCGGGCGUUAUCCGGAUUUAUUGGGUUUAAAGGGAGCGUAGGCCGGAGAUUAAGUGUGUUGUGAAAUGUAGACGCUCAACGUCUGACUUGCAGCGCAUACUGGUUUCCUUGAGUACGCACAACGUUGGCGGAAUUCGUCGUGUAGCGGUGAAAUGCUUAGAUAUGACGAAGAACUCCGAUUGCGAAGGCAGCUGACGGGAGCGCAACUGACGCUUAAGCUCGAAGGUGCGGGUAUCGAACAGGAUUAGAUACCCUGGUAGUCCGCACAGUAAACGAUGGAUGCCCGCUGUUGGUACCUGGUAUCAGCGGCUAAGCGAAAGCAUUAAGCAUCCCACCUGGGGAGUACGCCGGCAACGGUGAAACUCAAAGGAAUUGACGGGGGCCCGCACAAGCGGAGGAACAUGUGGUUUAAUUCGAUGAUACGCGAGGAACCUUACCCGGGCUUGAAUUGCAGACGAACGAUUCAGAGAUGAAGAGG